UUAGGAAUCUUCCACAAUGGGGGCAACCCUGAUGGAGCAACACCGCGUGCUGGAUGAAGGCUUUCGAGUUGUAAACAGCUUUUAUUUGCGAAGAAUAUGACGGUAACAAAUGAAUAAGGGUCGGCUAACUACGUGCCAGCAGCCGCGGUCAUACGUAGGACCCAAGCGUUAUCCGGAGUGACUGGGCGUAAAGAGUUGCGUAGGCGGUCUUUUAAGCGAGUAGUGAAAUCUGAUGGCUCAACCAUCAACCCAUUGCUCGAACUGGGAGACUUGAGAAUGGUAGAGGUAGUUGGAAUUUCUUGUGUAGGAGUGAAAUCCGUAGAUAUAAGAAGGAACACCAAUGGCGUAGGCAGACUACUGGACCAUUUCUGACGCUGAGGCACGAAAGCGUGGGGAGCGAACCGG
RNAcentral lists this ribosomal RNA (405 nucleotides) under uncultured bacterium. RNAcentral's name for it is "bacterial SSU rRNA". It matches the Rfam family "Bacterial small subunit ribosomal RNA", at positions 355 to 776 of the family's 1533-position model. The record is from RNAcentral.